Gloeophyllum trabeum ATCC 11539 is the source of this 99-nucleotide transfer RNA. It matches the Rfam family "tRNA". Rfam says of the family: Transfer RNA (tRNA) molecules are approximately 80 nucleotides in length. Their secondary structure includes four short double-helical elements and three loops (D, anti-codon, and T loops). The record is from Rfam. Lineage: Eukaryota; Fungi; Basidiomycota; Agaricomycetes; Gloeophyllales; Gloeophyllaceae.
GGGCAUGUGGCACAGUGGUAGCGCGCACGCUUUGCAUUGCGACUGUGAGUGCGAGAUACGCCAUGCGUGAGGCCCUGGGUUCAAUCCCCAGCUUGUCCA